GGGAUGUAUUAGGAACUUCUAAGCCGGAAAACAAAUGUAUUUGAAAUGAUAAUUUAUUUCUGCCUGAACCUAGACUGUUUAGGAAUCUGUUCCUGGAAUCCUCAGGGUAUACAGAUUUCUUCUCAAAUCAGAGCUGUAAAAAGUACCCAUUCACCAGUUGGGAGACACCUUUCUUCCACUUCUUAUUGGAAGCCCUGGUGGUCAUGUUGAUCCUCUGCUAUGUUUUUCUCCCAAAGCCAAAUAAUCCUCUUUACAAACUUGGGGUUUCAUGGACAUCCUCAUCACCCUUAGGUGAUUGCAUACUCGGAACAUCGUUACCGUAUCUUUGGGGAAACCAUCGAUAUUGCAGUGGGUAAUUGUCUGGAUCGUUUCGCUCGAGUGCUGAAGGUAAGCCAGUGGGGCUGCAGAGAACAUAAAAUGUGGGUGAAUUUUUGGGAAGCCAUGGAGGUGGAGGGAGGAAAUAGUAAAUAAGCUUCUUAUGCUUCCUGCAUAUCUGAUUUCAUCCUCUUCCGUUCCCUCCUUCCUUAUUUUUUUGUUCUGCUAGAUUUCUAAUGACCCAAGUCCAGGAUACAACAUUGAACAGAUGGCAAAGCGAGGCAAGAAGCUAGUUGAGCUGCCAUACACUGUAAAGGGGAUGGACGUCUCAUUCUCAGGGAUCCUGUCUUUCAUUGAGGAUGUAGCCCAUCGGAUGCUGGCCACAGGCGAGUGUACUCCUGAGGAUCUGUGUUUCUCCCUGCAGGUAAUGCAGUAACAAGCUGGGACAGAAAGUUGGGGCUGGAGGAGGUUUUAUAUUGUAGAGCAGAACUAAUCUGGGAUGCCCUCUAAUAUUUUCUCCUUAUCUGUCCCCGACAGGAAACUGUGUUUGCGAUGCUGGUAGAGGUCACAGAGCGAGCCAUGGCACAUUGUGGCUCCCAGGAGGCCCUCAUUGUGGGAGGAGUGGGGUGUAUGUAUCAUUGAAGUGCUCCUCUUUCCUGUUCUUAGCACGGUGUGUCUUCCUCCUGAUACUCUAAAUCAUUAAGGGUUUGGAGUAGGCUUCCCAAUCCUUGCCCCGGUCCCCUAGUCAUUGUUCUGAGUAAGUGCACAUGACGUGUUCUGCUGGACCAUGAAGAGAUAGCUAAAACUAAGCUAAUCCUGUUCCCUACCUCUUUGUAGGUAAUGUGAGGCUACAGGAGAUGAUGGCAACAAUGUGCCAGGAACGUGGAGCCCGGCUUUUUGCUACAGAUGAGAGAUUCUGUAUUGACAAUGGAGCCAUGAUAGCCCAGGCUGGCUGGGAGAUGUUUCGGGCCGGACACAGGACCCCACUCAGUGAUUCUGGGGUUACACAGAGGUAUCGGACAGAUGAAGUAGAGGUGACCUGGAGGGACUAAUAAGAUUAACAGAAUCAGAGUAGCUAGUUCCUUAACUGGAACCCAAAGGACCCUGUGCCUCAAUCUCUAUCCUGAUGUCAUGGGAGUCCUAGCAAAGCUAUAGACUCCAGGCAAGGCUUGGGAUCCUUUAUGGAACCCCAAGAUGACUCAGCAAUAAAAUAUUUUUGGUUUUUUGGU
RNAcentral lists this small RNA (1544 nucleotides) under Pongo abelii (Sumatran orangutan). Its description in RNAcentral is "retained intron". The record is from RNAcentral. Lineage: Eukaryota; Metazoa; Chordata; Mammalia; Primates; Hominidae.